GAUGAACGCUGGCGGCGUGCCUAACACAUGCAAGUCGAGCGGAGUUUUAGUUGAAGCACUUGUGCAACGAUUAAAACUUAGCGGCGGACGGGUGAGUAACACGUGAGCAACCUACCUUUUGCAGGGGAACAACAUUGGGAAACCAGUGCUAAUACCGCAUAAUAUCUUGGCAAGGCAUCUUGCCAAGAUCAAAGGAUUUCGAUCCGGCAAAAGAUGGGCUCGCGUCCGAUUAGCUAGUUGGUAAGGUAAAAGCUUACCAAGGCGACGAUCGGUAGCCGAACUGAGAGGUUGAUCGGCCACAUUGGGACUGAGACACGGCCCAGACUCCUACGGGAGGCAGCAGUGGGGAAUAUUGGGCAAUGGGGGCAACCCUGACCCAGCAACGCCGCGUGAAGGAAGAAGGCCUUCGGGUUGUAAACUUCUUUGAUCAGGGACGAAACAAAUGACGGUACCUGAAGAACAAGUCACGGCUAACUACGUG
Molecule: ribosomal RNA, 481 nt
Filed under: uncultured bacterium
Lineage: Bacteria
Description: bacterial SSU rRNA
Rfam family: Bacterial small subunit ribosomal RNA
Source: RNAcentral